RNAcentral lists this ribosomal RNA (537 nucleotides) under Clostridioides difficile. Its description in RNAcentral is "bacterial SSU rRNA". It matches the Rfam family "Bacterial small subunit ribosomal RNA", at positions 1 to 563 of the family's 1533-position model. Lineage: Bacteria; Bacillati; Bacillota; Clostridia; Peptostreptococcales; Peptostreptococcaceae. The record is from RNAcentral.
UUUUAUUUGAGAGUUUGAUCCUGGCUCAGGAUGAACGCUGGCGGCGUGCCUAACACAUGCAAGUUGAGCGAUUUACUUCGGUAAAGAGCGGCGGACGGGUGAGUAACGCGUGGGUAACCUACCCUGUACACACGGAUAACAUACCGAAAGGUAUGCUAAUACGGGAUAAUAUAUCUGAGAGGCAUCUCUUGAAUAUCAAAGGUGAGCCAGUACAGGAUGGACCCGCGUCUGAUUAGCUAGUUGGUAAGGUAACGGCUUACCAAGGCGACGAUCAGUAGCCGACCUGAGAGGGUGAUCGGCCACAUUGGAACUGAGACACGGUCCAAACUCCUACGGGAGGCAGCAGUGGGGAAUAUUGCACAAUGGGCGAAAGCCUGAUGCAGCAACGCCGCGUGAGUGAUGAAGGCCUUCGGGUCGUAAAACUCUGUCCUCAAGGAAGAUAAUGACGGUACUUGAGGAGGAAGCCCCGGCUAACUACGUGCCAGCAGCCGCGGUAAUACGUAGGGGGCUAGCGUUAUCCGGAUUUACUGGGCGUAA